UAGGGAAUCUUCGGCAAUGGGGGGAACCCUGACCGAGCAACGCCGCGUGAGUGAAGAAGGUUUUCGGAUCGUAAAGCUCUGUUGUUAAGGAAGAACGAGUGUGAGAAUGGAAAGUUCAUACUGUGACGGUACUUAACCAGAAAGGGACGGCUAACUACGUGCCAGCAGCCGCGGUAAUACGUAGGUCCCGAGCGUGGUCCGGAUUUAUUGGGCGUAAAGCGAGCGCAGGCGGUCAAUUAAGUCUGAUGUGAAAGCCCCCGGCUCAACCGGGAAGGGUCAUUGGAAACUGGUUGACUUGAGUGCAGAAGAGGAGAGUGGAAUUCCAUGUGUAGCGGUGAAAUGCGUAGAUAUAUGGAGGAACACCAGUGGCGAAGGCGACUCUCUGGUCUGUAACUGACGCUGAGGCUCGAAAGCGUGGGUAGCAAACAGG
RNAcentral lists this ribosomal RNA (430 nucleotides) under Bacteroidota bacterium. Its description in RNAcentral is "Bacteroidetes bacterium partial 16S ribosomal RNA". It matches the Rfam family "Bacterial small subunit ribosomal RNA", at positions 355 to 776 of the family's 1533-position model. Lineage: Bacteria; Pseudomonadati; Bacteroidota. The record is from RNAcentral.